AGGAGUUCAGUAGGCACGCGAGUCGUUGACGUUGUGCAUUGAACAGUCGAAGGCGUAAUGAAAGUGUGCAAGAAAGUGAAUUGUACAUUUUUUUGUACUGUUUGCUUUCAGCAUGAUCGUCCUUUGUUUUGUUUGGGUGCUGCUUGAAUUUUUUCGGGCCACCUUUCUUAAUUUAAUGAAAGUAAGAAAAAAGUGAACGGUGCUUUUCUUGGGUGCCGUUUGCUUUUCAACAUGAUCGUCCUUUGUUGUUUUGUUUGGGUGUGUUGCUUGAUUUUUGUAACUUGCGCCGCCCUUCUUAAUAAUAUUUUGGACGCGCAGUGUUGUGCCGUUGAACAGUCGCACUGUUUGUCCAUCUCUCACGGGUUGGAGAAACAAUUGUCGAUCAGUCGGUUUCGGAGCGUGCACACUGGUACCCGAAAGAUGGUGAACUAUGCUUGAGCAGAAUGAAGCCAGAGGAAACUCUGGUGGAAGUUCGUAGCGGUGUUGACGUGCAAAUCACUCGUCUGACUUGAGUGUAGGGGCGAAAGACUAAUCGAACCAUCUAGUUGCUGGUUCCUUCCGAAGUUUCCCUCAGGAUAGCUGGCAUUUGUUUGUAACAAUUUUAUCCGGUAGAGCGAAUGAUUAGAGGUGUUGGGAACGCAAUGUUCUCAGCCUAUUCUCAAACUUCGAAUGGGUAAGCAAGGCGUUUUGCUUUGAUUUUACGAUGAAAUCGCCCAAUUAGAAUGCAUAAAUGCCUAGUGGGCCAAUUUUGGUAAGCAGAACUGGCGAUGUGGAAUGAACCAAAAGUCAGGUUAAGGUGCCAGACAUUGGCGCUCAUGAAAUACCAGAAAAGGUGUUGGUCGAUAUAGACAGCAGGACGGUGGCCAUGGAAGUUGGAAUCCGCCAAGGAGUGUGUAACAACUCACCUGCCGAAUCGACUAGCCCUGAAAAUGGAUAGCGUUUGAGCGCCAGGCCCAUACCUGACCGUCUCAAUUACGCACUUUUUUCUUUUUUGAAAAAGGUGUAAUGAACGUUGAGACGGGUAGGAAGGUCGCGACAGUGUUGCUUUGAAGAGUUUUGAGCGUGAGCUCGCUCGGAGCCGCUGUUGGUGCAGAUCUUGGUGGUAGUAGCAAAUAUUCAAGUGAGAACCUUGAAGGCUGAAGUGGAGCAAGGUUCCAUGUGAACAGCAGUUGGACAUGGGUCAGUCGAUCCUAAGAAAACGGCGAAAGCUUGUUCGAAUUUGCGACAUGAAUUGUAAGACUGUGUGUGUUUAUUGUGUGUGCGUGUGCAGUUGUCGUAUGUUUUCGAAAGGGAAUCCGGUUGAUAUUCCGGAACCGAGUAACGGAGACAAAGAGUAGCGCUUUAAUCUCUCUGUGGGGUUGGCGUUCAACUCAAUCGCGCGGUAACGCAAGCGAACUCGGAAAAUGACCGUCGUGAGUUUCGAAAAGAGUUUUCUUUUCUUUUUAAGGGACGCAUUCCCUGGAACCGGGUUGUCCGGAGAUAGGGAUUCUGGUAUCCAUAAAACGCCGACUUUUUCACGGUGUUCGGAGCGCUCUCGUCGGUACGUGAAAAUCCGAGCGACGCCUGGUAAAUCUCGUACUUGGUCGUACUGAUAUCCGCAGCAGGUCUCCAAGGUGAAUAGCCUCUGGCCGAUAGAAUAAUGUAGGUAAGGGAAGUCGGCAAAACGGAUCCGUAACUUCGGAACAAGGAUUGGCUCUAAGGGCUGGGCCGAUCGGGCUGAGGUUUCAAGCGUGCAGUGUAUGCUUGGCUGAGUUGUGUUGAGGACUUGUUCACUUGCCGCCGUUUGUUCGGUUGGUCUAGUGUAUUCGAGUCUGAAGCAGAGCUGGCCGACAGACCGGCACGUGCAGAACCUGAGCUGCGCGGCUGUCCGUUUACGUGUACAGACCGUUUCGGUCGGCAUUCAACAGCCAACUUAGAACUGGCACGGACACAAGGAAUCUGACUGUAUAAUUAAAACAAAGCAUUGCGAUGGCCGAUGAUCGGUGAUGACGCAAUGUGAUUUCUGCCCAGUGCUCUGAAUGUCAAAGUGAAGAAAUUCAAUCAAGCGCGGGUAAACGGCGGGAGUAACUAUGACUCUCUUAAGGUAGCCAAAUGCCUCGUCAUCUAAUUAGUGACGCGUAUGAAUGGAUCAACAAGAUUCCUUCUGUCCCUAUCUACUAUCUAGCGAAACCACAGCCAAGGGAACGGGCUUGGCAAAAUCAGCGGGGAAAGAAGACCCUGUUGAGCUUGACUCUAGUCUGACUCUGUGAAGAGACAUGAAAGGUGUAGCAUAGGUGGGAGAUUGUCAAAUUGCCAUCGUUCGCGCGGUGGUCCGGUGAUCGCCAAUGAAAUACCACUACUUUGAUCGUUUCUUUACUUAUUCGGUAAAGCGAAAAAAUUGUGGCCAAUUUGGCGGUGUUUAUGUCGCUGUUGGUCAUUGUUUUCAUGUUAGAUUGAAGCUUUGUUUACAGCCGUCGCUUUGUGUCGCCAUUUGACGCAUUGUUGUACUGGGUUAUCCCGGUGUGUGGUGUAGUCAGUAUGGAUGAUCGGCGAUAGGUUUGAAGUGAUUCGCUCCGGAAACAGUGUCAGACGGGGAGUUUGACUGGGGCGGUACAUCUGUUAAACGAUAACGCAGGUGUCCUAAGGUAAGCUCAGCGAGGACAGAAACCUCGCUUAGAGUAAACGGGCACAAGCUUACUUGAUUUUGAUUUCCAGUACGAAUAGAAACCGCGAAAGCGUGGCCUAUCGAUCCUUUUGAUUGUGUAGAUUUCAUGCAAGAGGUGUCAGAAAAGUUACCACAGGGAUAACUGGCUUGUGGCAGCCAAGCGUCCAUAGCGACGUUGCUUUUUGAUCCUUCGAUGUCGGCUCUUCCUAUCAUUGCGAAGCAGAAUUCGCCAAGCGUUGGAUUGUUCACCCACCAAUAGGGAACGUGAGCUGGGUUUAGACCGUCGUGAGACAGGUUAGUUUUACCCUACUGAUGACAAGUCGUUGCGAUAGUAAUCCUGCUCAGUACGAGAGGAACCGCGGGAUCAGACAUUUGGUUCAUGCGCUCGGCUGAAAGGCCGGUGGCGCGAAGCUAGCAUCUGCAAGAUUAUGACUGAACGCCUCUAAGUCAGAAUCUUUUCUAGUCAUUGGCAACGAUAAGUUGCGUCCGGACUCGAUGCGAGGAAACGAUUAGGCUUUGCUGUGUUUUGCGCAGCGAAGCCGUCAUCAUACCACGGUAGCAGGCAGUUGGGAUGGUUACGAAAAAGCAAUUUUUUGAAGUCAGUUGAAUUCAAUCAAACUGCUAAC
RNAcentral lists this ribosomal RNA (3270 nucleotides) under Trichinella sp. T9. RNAcentral describes it as "eukaryotic LSU rRNA". It matches the Rfam family "Eukaryotic large subunit ribosomal RNA", at positions 669 to 3401 of the family's 3401-position model. Lineage: Eukaryota; Metazoa; Nematoda; Enoplea; Trichinellida; Trichinellidae. The record is from RNAcentral.